This 231-nucleotide ribosomal RNA is filed under the name uncultured prokaryote. Its description in RNAcentral is "partial 16S ribosomal RNA". It matches the Rfam family "Bacterial small subunit ribosomal RNA", at positions 30 to 253 of the family's 1533-position model. The record is from RNAcentral.
AGAAUUGAACGCUAGGCGGCAUGCUUUACACAUGCAAGUCGAACGGCAGCACGGGGGCAACCCUGGUGGCGAGUGGCGAACGGGUGAGUAAUGCAUCGGAACGUAUCCUUGAGUGGGGGAUAACGCAGCGAAAGUUGUGUCUAAUACCGCAUUAAGCUCUGAGGGAGGGAAAGCGGGGGACCGAAAGGCCUCGCGCUGAAGGAGCGGCCGAUGUCCGAUUAGCUAGUUGGU